RNAcentral lists this ribosomal RNA (406 nucleotides) under uncultured bacterium. RNAcentral's name for it is "partial 16S ribosomal RNA". It matches the Rfam family "Bacterial small subunit ribosomal RNA", at positions 29 to 526 of the family's 1533-position model. The record is from RNAcentral.
AUUGAACGCUGGCGGCCGGCCUAACACAUGCAAGUCGAACGAGUGGCGGACGGGUGAGUAAUGUCUGGGAAACUGCCAGAUGGAGGGAGAUAACUACUGGAAACGGUAGCUAAUACCGCCUACCAUCGGAUGUGCACAGAUGGGAUUUGCUAGGAGGUGGGGAAAAGGCUCACCUAGGCGACGAUCCCUAGCUGGUCUGAGAGGAUGACCAGCCACACGGGAACUGCGACACGGUCCAGACUCCUACGGGAGGCAGCAGUGGGGAAUAUGGCACAAUGGGCGCAAGCCUGAGGCAGCCAGGCCGCGUGUAUGAAGAAGGCCUUCGGGUUGUAAAGUACUUGCAGCGGGGAGGCGUUACCCGCAGAAGAAGCACCGGCUAAGUCCGUGCCAGCCGCCGCGGUAAUUC